Molecule: unclassified non-coding RNA, 337 nt
Filed under: soil metagenome
Description: partial contains 5.8S ribosomal RNA, internal transcribed spacer 2, and large subunit ribosomal RNA
Rfam family: 5.8S ribosomal RNA (bases 1-120)
Source: RNAcentral
GAUGAAGAACGCAGCGAAAUGCGAUAAGUAGUGUGAAUUCCAGAAUUCAGUGAAUCAUCGAAUCUUUGAACGCACAUUGCGCCCUUUGGUAUUCCUUAGGGCAUGCCUGUUCGAGCGUCAUUUGAAACCUCAAGCUCAGCUUGGUGUUGGGUGUCUGUCCCCGCCUCACCGCGGGGACUCGCCUCAAAAUCAUUGGCGGCCGGUACGUUGGCUUCGAGCGCAGCAGAAACGCGAACUCGAGGCCCGGCGGAUCGGCGACCAGAAGUCACUUCUUCACAGUUUGACCUCGGAUCAGGUAGGGAUACCCGCUGAACUUAAGCAUAUCAAUAGCGGAGGA